UAGAAACUAUAAUAUGAAACCAUUGGUUCGACAUCACGACUAUCUAAGAUUCAUAACAUGAAAACAAACAAAUAAUAGUAAUUUUCUAUUAUCACAGGAAAAAAACAAAAAAAAUAUCAAACAUUUUAACCGAAUAAACCAAAUAAAUAUUGAUUUUAAAUGAUAGUUAUAUUUUAGGAGAUUAAAAACCAAAAACCAAUUUAAAACCAAACCGAUAUCCAAAUUAAUGUCUCCUUAUUAAAAUAAUAACGAAACUAAUAAUCACAUUCUGCGCUAGACGCGGAUUAUUACCCAGUACAACAUGUAAAAGGAGACUCUAUAGCUAGCUAGCUAUAUAUGAGUGCUAGCUCGUUCGCCUAAAC
RNAcentral lists this long non-coding RNA (362 nucleotides) under Brassica rapa (field mustard). RNAcentral describes it as "long non-coding RNA (BRAP_LNC007322)". The record is from RNAcentral. Lineage: Eukaryota; Viridiplantae; Streptophyta; Magnoliopsida; Brassicales; Brassicaceae.